Molecule: long non-coding RNA, 191 nt
Organism: Sebastes umbrosus (honeycomb rockfish)
Lineage: Eukaryota; Metazoa; Chordata; Actinopteri; Perciformes; Sebastidae
Exons: 2
Source: RefSeq, a predicted model, not a curated record
CCCCUCCCAGUUUGAUCUAAAAUUGGCACACUUUUUAAAUCGAUGAAAUGCUAUGUAGUCGACAAAAAAAAACACUGAAGCUUUUAUUUUGUUAAGGCUGCUUUGACUUUACAGCUCAUCAUUCUCUGCUAUUAUCAUUUACAAUCCAUUUACUACUGUUCCAUAAUAAAUAGCAGCUAUAGGACCAUCAC